This 253-nucleotide ribosomal RNA is filed under the name uncultured prokaryote. RNAcentral describes it as "partial 16S ribosomal RNA". It matches the Rfam family "Bacterial small subunit ribosomal RNA", at positions 524 to 776 of the family's 1533-position model. The record is from RNAcentral.
UACGUAGGUGGCAAGCGUUGUUCGGAAUUAUUGGGCGUAAAGGGCGCGUAGGCGGCAUGUUAAGUCGGCUGUGAAAGCCUGGGGCUCAACCCCAGAGGGUCGGCCGAUACUGGCAAGCUAGAGUACGGAAGAGGUAGCUGGAAUUCCCGGUGUAGCGGUGAAAUGCGUAGAUAUCAAGAGGAACACCUGCGGCGAAGGCGGGUUGCUGGGCCGACACUGACGCUGAAGUGCGAAAGCCAGGGGAGCGAACGGG